AUUGAACGCUGGCGGAAUGCUUUACACAUGCAAGUCGAACGGUAGAGGGGGCAACCCCUCGAGAGUGGCGAACGGGUGAGUAAUAUAUCGGAACGUGCCCAGUCGUGGGGGAUAACGUAGCGAAAGUUACGCUAAUACCGCAUACGAUCUAAGGAUGAAAGCGGGGGAUCGCAAGACCUCGCGCGAUUGGAGCGGCCGAUAUCAGAUUAGGUAGUUGGUGGGGUAAAGGCUCACCAAGCCAACGAUCUGUAGCUGGUCUGAGAGGACGACCAGCCACACUGGAACUGAGACACGGUCCAGACUCCUACGGGAGGCAGCAGUGGGGAAUUUUGGACAAUGGACGCAAGUCUGAUCCAGCCAUUCCGCGUGCAGGAUGAAGGCCCUCGGGUUGUAAACUGCUUUUGUACGGAACGAAAAGGUCUCUCUUAAUACGGGGGGCUCAUGACGGUACCGUAAGAAUAAGCACCGGCUAACUACGUGCCAGCCGCCGUAACAC
RNAcentral lists this ribosomal RNA (496 nucleotides) under uncultured bacterium. RNAcentral's name for it is "partial 16S ribosomal RNA". It matches the Rfam family "Bacterial small subunit ribosomal RNA", at positions 30 to 526 of the family's 1533-position model. The record is from RNAcentral.